Molecule: RNA transcript, 1994 nt
Organism: Coffea eugenioides
Lineage: Eukaryota; Viridiplantae; Streptophyta; Magnoliopsida; Gentianales; Rubiaceae
Gene name: cysteine desulfurase, mitochondrial
Exons: 2
Source: RefSeq, a predicted model, not a curated record
CUAGUAGUACAUAGGCUUCUUUCACAACGCCGUCAUUCUAUCUCCUCCCUCCCUUCCUUGAUAAAGAUGAACCCUUUUUUUUUAUUUUUUUUCUGAUUUAAUUUCAACACCUUCAAAAUAAAAAGUUGAAGCUCCCACCCACAAAUUUGGCGCAGGACCGCGCAGUCAGACUCAUUACACAGCUGUCUGAGGUGAACGGAACACAAGCCCACAUCGAAACGAUGCCGUCGAAGCUUUUAACCACCGCCCUCCGCCGCACGAUCUUAAAACCCACAAUCCUCCGCCCCUUCUCCACCGCCGCUGCCGCCGUUGCUGAACCCUAUCAAGAAGACACAUCAGGAAUUACGGUGAAAGGCGUAAAAAUCUCCGGAAGACCCCUCUACCUCGACAUGCAAGCUACCUCGCCGGUGGACCCUCGGGUCCUCGACGCCAUGCUCCCUUACUAUCUCUCCCGCUUCGGCAACCCUCACUCCCGGACCCACCUCUACGGCUGGGAAUCCGACCAGGCCGUCGAGUCUGCCCGAACCCACGUGGCAGACCUAAUUAGCGCCUCCCCUAAGGAGAUCAUUUUCACCUCCGGCGCCACCGAGUCCAAUAACAUCUCCGUCAAGGGGGUUUUGCAUUUUUAUAAGGAUAAGAAGCGCCACGUCAUCACUACCCAGACGGAGCACAAGUGCGUCUUGGACUCCUGCCGUCACCUCCAGCAAGAGGGUUUUGAGGUAACUUAUCUUCCUGUUGAACCUGACGGGCUCGUUGAUUUGGAUAAGCUUCGGGCCGCGAUACGGCCCGACACGGGGUUAGUUUCGGUUAUGAUGGUUAAUAAUGAGAUUGGAGUGAUUCAACCUGUCGAGGAAAUUGGGAAAAUCUGCAAGGAAUUUAAUGUUCCGUUUCAUACCGAUGCUGCCCAGGCUUUGGGGAAAAUUCCCAUAGACGUCGAUAAGAUGAAUGUCAGUUUGAUGUCUUUGAGCGGGCAUAAGAUUUAUGGGCCUAAGGGAAUUGGGGCUUUGUACAUGAGGCGCAGACCGAGGAUCCGCGUGGAGCCUCAAAUGAAUGGGGGCGGGCAAGAGAGAGGGAUAAGGAGUGGAACUGUGCCAACUCCCUUGGUUGUGGGCUUUGGGGCUGCUUGUGACAUCGCUAAGAAGGAAAUGGAGUACGAUGACAAGAGGAUUAAGGCUUUGCAAGAGAGGUUGUUGAAUGGAAUUAGGGAUAAGAUUGAUGGGGUGGUAGUGAAUGGUAGCGUGGAGUGGAGGUAUGCAGGCAAUUUGAACUUGUCGUUUGCUUAUGUUGAGGGGGAAAGCUUGUUGAUGGGGUUGAAGGAGGUCGCCGUGUCGAGUGGUAGCGCUUGUACUAGUGCGAGCUUGGAGCCCUCGUAUGUAUUGAGGGCAUUGGGUGUGGAAGAGGACAUGGCACAUACGUCUAUUAGGUAUGGGAUUGGGAGGUUCACUACGGAGGAAGAGAUUGACAGGGCUGUGGAGCUAACUGUAAUGCAGGUUGAGAAGUUAAGGGAAAUGAGCCCUCUUUAUGAGAUGGUGAAGGCUGGGAUAGAUUUGAAGAGUAUACAAUGGUCACAGCACUGAUUGGGUGGAGGCUCCAAACUUGCGAUAACUGAACCUCUAAAUGUGCCAUGGAGCAGCUACUUCCUGGGCUUAUGGGCGUCUCACUGGUGUUGUCUGACAUUACUCUUUGGAUGCAAUUCAUACUCAUAGGAAAAGAAGGAAGCCCUUUGACAUUCAGUAGCAAUAGGUGUAGGACGUACGCGUUAGUGAUGGAGGAACAUGCAGCAGCUAAGAGGAAAUAAAAUGUUUGUACUUUUGGAAGCGAUCACAUGUAGGUUUGUCUGUGAUCAAAUAAAAAGCUUUGUCUGUUGCAUGUCAUUUUGCUGAGCUUGUGCACUAUUUUGCCCACGCACAAGGAGUUCAUUUGCGUUAAGUUUCUUGCUCGGUACUAUUGAUGUAUCUCCUUGGCGUGGAACGAUGAGCAGUACAUUCCUUGUG